GCCGGGGUGGCGGAAUGGUAGACGCGAAGGCCUUAAGAGCCUUUGGAGGGUUUCCUCCGUGUGGGUUCGAGUCCCUCCCCCGGCA
RNAcentral lists this transfer RNA (85 nucleotides) under bacterium. RNAcentral's name for it is "tRNA-Leu". It matches the Rfam family "tRNA". From Rfam's summary of the family: Transfer RNA (tRNA) molecules are approximately 80 nucleotides in length. Their secondary structure includes four short double-helical elements and three loops (D, anti-codon, and T loops). Further hydrogen bonds mediate the characteristic L-shaped molecular structure. tRNAs have two regions of fundamental functional importance: the anti-codon, which is responsible for specific mRNA codon recognition, and the 3' end, to which the tRNAs corresponding amino acid is attached (by aminoacyl-tRNA synthetases). tRNAs cope with the degeneracy of the genetic code in two manners: having more than one tRNA (with a specific anti-codon) for a particular amino acid; and 'wobble' base-pairing, i.e. permitting non-standard base-pairing at the 3rd anti-codon position. The record is from RNAcentral.